GUCAGGAAGGCUACCACCCAGAAUAAGCUAAGACUUGAAAAGGAUACAAAACUCAAUAUUAGGAAAAUGUGAAGGGAAAUUACAAUGGGGGUUUUAAGUUUUAUUUGAGCAAGAAGAACAAGGAAGCAAUUUGCCUACUGCCUGGAGCAAGUGAGGUAAUGUUGACAGAUAUCAGACAGAAAGCAGAUCAUCCCCAGUUCAGUAUUUUCUGUAGAGAAGGCUGUUCAGAGAGAGAAAGUCAAAUGAAAGAAGAACAUCUUGAAUUUAUACAAUGACUGGGAGAAGGCUUAAUGUGUUCUUAGAAUUGUAACUCCUAUUUGGAGAGAUUGCAAAAAGGAGCACCAGGGACAGAACCCUUGGAAGGGCCACAGGGGAUGGCAAAUGGCUCUCUCAGUUAGCUGGCUGAGCAUGUGAGCAGUCCGUACGACCAAGAUCAUUGUUGUCUCCAGCAGUGGAGAGCACCAGUUGCAGGAAUUUCAUCAGGGGCAUACAAGUCGUGGAUUUGACUGGGACAAUUUCUUGUACAUUUCCAUUGUUUUUAACAAAGCAGUGAUAAAUUCUAACAGAUAAUGCAACUCAGUCUACUUGGAUGUUCACACCUGAGACUGGAGAAGACCUGCUGCCUUCUGCAGAGCCAAACAUUCCUCACAUGCUCCUCCACAAUGCUAGUUAAUGCAGCAAGAAUAGUCUUAUAUAGACUAUAAACUCCUGGUACACUGUGUCUACAUUGCUCACUGCAGUAUCCCAACAUCUAAGACCAUGGUCUUAGAUGUCUGGUACAGGACUGGUGCUCAGUAUGCAUUGAAUGAAUAAAUGAAUGAAUAUAGCAAAGCA
RNAcentral lists this long non-coding RNA (834 nucleotides) under Homo sapiens (human). RNAcentral's name for it is "PREDICTED lncRNA (TCONS_00227573)". Lineage: Eukaryota; Metazoa; Chordata; Mammalia; Primates; Hominidae. The record is from RNAcentral.